GGCUGGGUGUCCCAGUUGUUCAGGGUGUGGUAAGCGGCCUUCAGCCAUCAGCUGCAACUCGCCAGGGUCACACCCUUCCCUGGGACAGCCCACAUUGCAAAGUCCUGGACAUCCUGGUCCAACCGAGGACAGCCCUGAGGACCACUUCUGUGGCAGAGCUCCCUGUGGGGGACCAGUAGCCGCUGUGCUUGAUGGCAUCACAGCCCCACUCCUGCCUCUUGUGUCUUCCCCUCCACAGGUCCAACAUCACUCCGUGAAAGUCUGCUCCCCACCUAGGAGCCCCCUCGAGCCACAGCAGCCUUGCCAGCUGGAGAAGGACCCGAGACGUGCAGAUGGGAGUUGUGGCAGUAGUGGCCAUCUUGAGGGACAGACACCGGGAGAAAACGAGUGAUGCGUGCAAGGAGGGGCAUCGCUGAGCCCACACAAGACUCAAGAUGGAUGAGACAGAGGCGGCCUCAGGUGCCUGCAGGUGGAGAGAGAAGGUAGGGGUGGCCUGGAGGCAGGUCUCUUCUGAGUAUCACAAAGCACAUCCAAAAGUAAAUGAUGCCGGGUGUGGUGGCUCUCGCCUGUAAUCCCAGCACUUUGGGAGGCUGAGGUGGGUGGAUCAGCUGGACCAACAUGAUGAAACCUCGUCUCUACUAAAAAUACAAAAAUUAGCUGGGUGUGGUGGCACGCGCCUGUAAUCCCAGCUACUUGGGAGG
Molecule: long non-coding RNA, 701 nt
Filed under: Homo sapiens (human)
Lineage: Eukaryota; Metazoa; Chordata; Mammalia; Primates; Hominidae
Description: novel transcript
Source: RNAcentral